CCGCCUCUCUCGUGAAUGAAGUGCGGCGCGCAGUUUGGAGGAUCUUAGUUUGUUUGCAGUAUGAAGAUGGAUAGAUGCCAUUUCUACGAAACGCUACUAUCAGUGCAACCUGUGAUGAUUUAUCCUGUUCUUCAUUGAUGUAGCCACAGAUGAACUGUUUGAAGAAAGCUUGCGGUGCCUCAAGCGUGCCGAGCUUCAUUUCCUCCUGUGAGACAGCCAUGCCCUGAGAAUAAGUGGAUGACACUCAGACAUUGUUUUCGUGUGCUGGUGAUGUGCUGGUAGAGCUGACCCUUAGUACAGCUUCCUACUCUGACAGCCAGGGGCCGUUAAGGGCCAUGUGGGCCCGGCUGCAGCUGCUCCACUCUCCUUGCCCACUCAGCAGGCACACUGUGCCCUUUGAGCCCACCUGCCAUUCAAUCCAGCACAGGUGAACAGAUGUAGGGCCAGCAGUGGAAAUCAGCAAGGAAACCCCACACUAUUCAAUGUGAUUUUAAUCAGCGGCUCUCCUCCUGACCCAUUUAUUUCUGCACUGAGCUGAUUGCGUUGGCUGCCGCAGACGAGCCCGACCCACGACACGCCAUAAUUACCCAUCACAUCAUAUAUGUCCUACAACCAUCAUAGAGCAACUCAUAAUCUCAAAAUUACUGUACUCUGGGCAAAGUGGAUCACUCUUUCAGUCAAAUCAAACUUUCAGGGUUGUUAUUGUCAGAUUUCCCAUCCCUGGCGUAUCAUCAGCUCGACUCGUUUUAUUCAGCCCUGGCUACCCAGCCGUCGUACUCUUUUAGUCAGUUGCGUCUGUAGUGGGAAUCAAUAUGCAGAUAUGCGUGGAAAAUUGUACCGGGCUGGCUGAUAAUGAGAUUUUACUGUGAAGACAAAGCCCCUGGGUGCAGUGAUUGGUAUCUGAGAGAGUCCACACUGUCCUCAGCGCUCGCUCCCUUGAGACCGUCACAGUGCUAACAUGUCUUCUGUUUUAGCUGCACGAAGCUAAAAGUGCAGCUUAAUGGAUUGAACACCGAACAACGAACCUUUUUGCAGGGUGUUCGGUACACAACAUUUUUGGGUCUGUAGGGCA
Molecule: long non-coding RNA, 1072 nt
Organism: Cyprinus carpio carpio
Lineage: Eukaryota; Metazoa; Chordata; Actinopteri; Cypriniformes; Cyprinidae
Source: Ensembl